Long non-coding RNA from Carassius gibelio (silver crucian carp), 7380 nucleotides. RefSeq lists it as uncharacterized. NCBI's taxonomy places the organism in Eukaryota, Metazoa, Chordata, Actinopteri, Cypriniformes, Cyprinidae. The transcript is spliced from 4 exons. The record is from RefSeq and is a predicted model, not a curated record.
AACAGAGGAUAUUAAUAUUAUGGUGUUUUAAUAUUUUUACACACACUUAAACUCUUCUACCAAACCUGCCAGCUCCACCUGUGAAUUCAGUUUUUUUUUUCAGAUGUUACAUAGAACAAUCGAAAGCAAAUAUUACAGUUUUUUUUUUUUUUUUUUGGUCGUUAACAGUUAUUCUUCUGGAAGCUAGUAAACUGUUGUGAUGUUGUAUCGCUUUUCGGCAAAUCCUCAAUUUACAUUUUUUACGGAACACUGUAAAGGCAACAGGGUUGUCAGUAUAAUUGGUUUCUGUCAAGAUGCUUUAUCACUUUGCAAAGAACGUUUAUUGAUUUUCCCCCUUACAUUUUUAAUGUUUGGAAGUGACAAUAAAAAAAGUCACAGAAAUCGUUAUAAUGACAUAUAUAUAUAUAUAUAUAUAUAUAUAUAUAUAUAUAUAUAUAUAUAUAUAUAUAUAUAUAUAUAUAUAUAUAUAUAUAUAAAUCUGUUUUCGCACAGUAACGUUAGUCCCAAAGAGACUUUUCUUUUUGUCAAGCUGCAGGCAGAAGAUGUUUGUUGCUGCUGACUGCUGAGGAGGAUGUUCCCUGGAGCUUAUGUUUUUUCCCAUAAAGAUGGGUGAUCUGGACAUUUAUUCCAGCAACGAAGAAUUGAAGCCCAUCUGAAUGUAACACUUCAUUGGUCCACCGAUGACCGUUCCUCAUUUGAUUCCAACAUAUCAGUGGACACCAGAGGAACAACCUGAUGUUUCUUUCAGUCCAAACGCAGUAAAAGGAAGCAACAGAAAGAGAAGGAGAGACAAUCACAGUCAGAAAGACCUCAAGAGACAGCGCUUCGUUUCUUCAGGUCCUCAUAACCAGCCUGCUAGAAAUGCCAACUUUACCUCCAAACCGGCGGCUGGACCAGUGACAAGCAGAGAAACAUCUCAGUUAUGUAUGUAACCAUGGUUACCUGAAUAGGGAACGAGAUGCUGCGGUGACGUCACCACGUAUGGGAACACCUUCGGUGUGACGAAUGUCUGAAGCCCUAUACCAUCCCGCCAAUCCUAUUGGCCAAAUAGCGCUUGGCACCGCCCACGCAUGCGUACGCAUAUAUACCUGGUGCCGCGCGCCAUUUCACUCAGAUUUCAUGACUGAAGAAGAAGAAUGCUAUCAAGGUAUGGCACGGCCAGGACCGCAGCAUCUCGUUCCCUAUUCAGGGAACCAUGGUUACAUACGUAACCGAGAUGUUCCCUUUCAUAGGUCACUUCGAUGCUGCGGUGACGUCACCACGUAUGGGAACGCUAUACCAUAACGCCUGACGUACCUGAUAGCUAGGAUCCAAGAAGGCAUCUGCUCAAGCGGAGAGAACCCGGGAGCCAGGAGCCAUCCUCACAUCCAGACUGUAAGACUUGAUAAAAGUGCUCUGUGAGGACCAACCUGCCGCAGCACAGAUAUCAUCCAUAGAAGAUCCACUGAGAAAAGCUUAAGAAGAAGCCACUGCUCUCGUGGAAUGAGGUUUAACUCCUAAGGGCGAAUAGCCGCAUAGGCUAAAGAUAUUGCAUCCACCAGCCAAUGGGACAUGCGCUGUUUUGUAACCGCAUGGCCUUUAUUUUUGUGUCCGAAACAGACAAACAGCUGGUCAGACUCACGCCAUGGGGCAGUGCGAUCCACAUAAGUCUUUAAAGCUCUCACGGGGCAAAGACUUAGAUCUCCAGACUCCGCCACAGCAGGGGAUAAAGCCUCCAGGACCACCUGCUGAAAGCGAAAUGGAUUAGAUGCAACCUUAGGGACAUAAUUAGGCCUUUGUCGCAAUAGCACCUUCACAGAGCCCGGCGCAAACUCCAUGCACGAAGGUGAGACGGAGAGAGCCUGUAAAUCCCCAACUCUCUUGAGGGAAGAUAAAGCCAUGAGAAGAAGUGUCUUCAAAGUCAGGAUCUUAUCCGGUACAGUUUCAAAGGGCUCAAACGGAUGCCCUGAUAAACCAUGCAACAUGGAUAAAUCCCAUGAAGGAACUCGCACAGGGCGGAAAGGCCUCAGCCGUCGCGCACCCUGUAUGAAACGAGAAACCAGUGGAUGACGACCCACUGAGGCACCAUCUAUAUAUUUGUGGUAAGCUGAAAUGGCUGCCACGUAAACCUUUAAGGUAGCUGGAGUCACUCCAUCCGAAAAACGGUCCUGAAGGAACUCCAGUACUGAAGCCACUGGGCAGUAAAUGUGGUGUAUUUUGCCGGUUCUCCAAAGAAUCGAACUCAGUCAGGGAUUUUUCUCUCAGAAGAAAAUACUUUAUUUUAAGCAAAACAAAGCCGAGAGGUCCUUGCAAGGAGAUCUCCCGAAAUGCUAGGUUUCAUCUCAUUAUAUACCCUAUACAGGGCGUUUCCAAAUAGUCAAACUUUUCCUUAUGCUUGCAAUUUUGAUCCCUCCCUAGGGAGGAGAGGCCCCUACUUGUUUUGGUAAAACGGAAGGCCCUUGUCUGGCCAUAUGUUUCUCCUCAGUUCUGAACAUUCCAGCACGUAGGCAACUUUCUAUCCAUUACCUAUAGGAUUAUAAUGGAAAAACAACUAGCAACAAAAAUGGCUUGAUUCACAUUGAUUAUUCUUGAUUGAUUAAAAUCUUACUAAUAAAAAUCUUCCACAUAAACUGGAUCCACAGUACGAUUUUCACACCAGGCUGUAAACAGUCUCCACUUGAAAGCAUAUAAGCGUCUCGUAGAAGCUGCUCUAGAAUUCAGUAUAGUCUUGGUAGUUUCAGCAGAAAGACCGGGACAUAUUAAUUCACUCCACUCAGAGGCCAUGCCCACAGAUUCCAUAAAUCCGGCCUGGGAUGCCAAAUCAGCCCCCGCGCUUGCGAUAAUAAAUCCUGUCUGAGGGGAAUCUCCCAUGAAGAGCCCGCUAACAGAUUGAUCAGAUCCGCAAACGACGGCUGCGUGUGCCACCGCGGAGCCACCAGCAGCAGCUGUUCCACUCUGUCCCGCCGUAUUCUGCAUAAUACCGCUGGGAUCAGACGAAUUGGAGGAAACGCAUACAAACUGGUCCUGGGCCAGUUGUGUGCUAACACAUCCAAGCCCAGGGGUGAUGGAGGGCAUAGGGAGAACCAUAGCGGGCAAUGCGUAGUCGUGCUCGAUGCGAAUAAAUCCACUUUCGCUUCUCCGAAAAUCUGCCAUAGGAGACUCACCGUUUGUGGGUGCAAUCUCCAUUCCCCUUGCUCCAGAGUCUGUCUGGAUAGCAAAUCCGCUCCGAAGUUCAAUCGUCCGGGGAUAUGAACGGCCCGGACCGACAGAAAUUUGUUGUGAGACCAAAGAAGAAUAAGUCUCGCCAGCCUGCAUAGGGGGCGAGACAUAAUCCUCCCUGAUCAUUCAGGUAUGACACAACCGCUAUGUUGUCCGAUCUGAUCAGUACAUGACGGCCGAUCAGCAGACUCGCGAAAUACUGGAGAGCUAGAAAAAAUGGCAGUAAUUCCAAUCUGUUUAUGUGCCUGCUGCGUUGAGCCACUGUCCACACUCCAUGGGUUGGUCGCCCUUGACAAACAGCUCCCCAUCCGGUCAUAGACGCAUCCGUUCUAACAGUCUCUCGGAUAGCACAAAUCCCCAGCCGAACUCCAGUUAGGAGAAAUUCGGUUGUCAUCCAUAGCUUUAACGACAUCACACAACCUUCCAUUCCAGCCCCAAUUUACCCACUGCACGAGAAACCACAUCCAACAGCUCACUGUAGGAGGGGGAAACACGCCUCUCCUGUCCGCUAGGAGGGAGAGAGCUGGAGUCGGUCGCGAAGUCCUCAGACCUCGAGGCCGCGGUGGAUAAAACGUCGUCAUCAUGGCGUCCGCAACCGAAGGAGAUGGCACUACAUGCCUCCGGUGUGGGCCGUAAAUCCUCAUUGGAAAAGACGACAGGCUCAAUAAAAGAUUCAUUCUGCGCCAGGGUAGGGGAGAGCGAGCGACAUGGAGAAUAAUCCAGCGCUGAGCUUUCCUCGAAGUCCAUGUCGCACGUGUCACCCCAAACUAUCACCUCGUGCGGUGCCUCGGCAGUCGCAGAAGUGACAUGGCGGGGGUUAGACACGGGGGCAACAUCAGCAAAUACAUCUACCCUCAAGCGCAGUGUUUUGAGCCGCAGGCCAUCGCAAUGGGGACAGGUAGAAAGGCCGCUGAGCACCGCCUGUGCGUGGUGCAAACCAAGGCAAACUACGCACCUGUCAUGAGUGUCCCCUUUGACGAUGUACCUGGUACAUGGCUCCCUGCACUUCUUGAAACUCAUCGCGUCCGCGGAGAGUAGUAAACUGCUUGAAGAAUCGCUGGAGAACACGAGAUGAAUAGUAGGGCACAGAAAAUCGGCUUCAUAAACUGAAGGAAUGAAAUCUGAGUGAAAUGGCGGGUGGCACCAGGUAUAUAUGCGUACGCAUGCGUGGGCGGUGCCAAGCGCUAUUUGGCCAAUAGGAUUGGCGGGAUGGUAUAGGGCUUCAGACAUUCGUCACACCGAAGGUGUUCCCAUACGUGGUGACGUCACCGCAGCAUCGAAGCGACCUAUGAAAGGGAACAUGUCAUUCUUAUUCCAGCAUCCCCACAUGCUCAUCAGCCGCCUCUAAACCCGAAGGCUGUGUUCCAUCUUUGAGAGAAGGAUCCCAUCAUAGUGCCUUUCCCCCGUCAUCAGUCAGUGAUAAGGUGAACAAACAAACGAAGGCCAGAAAUGUUGACUGAUUUAGUCAUGUCACCUUUAUUUGAAGCGCACAAGUGAUGGCAAAUUUUAGAGAAGUAAUGCAAUAAUGCACAAGUAAUCGAAGUAAACUCCAGUCCAACUCAUGGAGUAAAAGCUGUGUGUUUAAAAAAAAAAAACCUUUAAUCAUUUACUUUUUAACUUAAAACAGUUGCUUCUGGCCAAAAUAGUCAUUAAACAUUUUUUUUCCCCGGCUUUAAUGCAAGUUGAAAACUUUUUUUAUGAAGAAUGCUUUUUUAUGAAGUGUUUAUGUAACUCUUGUAUUAUCCCAACUCAGUCUUUGCCAUAAGCCUGGCAUGGCAAUAGAAAAUAAUUAUAAUAUAAAAAUAAUUAUAAAUAACAGUUAAUAAUAAUGUUUCUUCCAAUGAAAACCUACAUCCCCUGUUGUCCUCUCGCAUCAAAAUCCACCAACAUAUUUGUUUGGACCUUUUUUGUGCAUAUUUCUCUCCUGAUUCAGAUGAGAUAUUUUUUAGUGGAGAAAGCAAUAUCAUGGAGAGAGGACUAAUGUUUUAGCCAGAAGCAGGUAUUUAAAGUUAAAAAUGCCUUGAUGGAUUUGUUUGUUUAAAACACACAGCUUUUCACAUCACAAGGCAUUAAUUGAUGGACUGGGGUGAUGUGGAGUAUUUGUGGUUUACUGAGAUGUUUUUACCAGCUGUUUUUCACCAUUCUGAUGGCACCCAUUCACUGCAGAGGAUCCACUGGUGAGCAAGUGAUGUAAUGAUACAUUUCUCUAUUCUGAUGAAAAAACUAACUCCUCUACAUCUUGAAUGAGUAAGGUUGUUUUUGUGGUGAACUACUAUAAAUGGCAUUCUUCAUGAAAUUGUUCUAAUAAUUUGAAACCUUUUCUGUAUUUUUGGUCAAGGUGCACAAGUCUUGGCCGGGUCAUCUCUAAAUGGCUUUGGUACUCGCAGCAGUGAUGCUGAUCUUUGUCUUGUCAUUGAAGAGGGAACGGUAAACCACAGAACAGAUGCUGUAUAUGUUCUAAGUCUUGUGUGGAAAUAGUUUUACACACUGUGUAAGUGAUCUGCCAUACAUACAUCUUUAAACAUACAGAAGUUUCCCUUUGUACUUGACUUUGUUUCAUCCACUAAUGGCAUUACUGCUAAGAGACCUCAGCUCAUCAGAGCCAAAGUGCCCAUUCUGAAAUUCAGUCAGGUAAGCCAAAUCAGAGAUAGGUGUGUCUACACUUCUGUUCAAUAAUUUUUUUUAAGUAAAUGAAUACGCUUAUUUAGCAAGGAUGCAUUAAAUUGAUCAAAAGUGAUGGUAAAGACUCCUCUCCUGUGCCACUGCACAAAGGAACACAAUACACACAAAAAAAACAUUAAAUCAGUGCAAAUAGUUUUAAUAAAGUUCAUAUAGUUUUCCGUGCAAAAUGAACAGUUUUAAGUCAGUAUGUGAGGAUCACUGCUACAUGCUUAAUAUCUUUAAAUCACUCAGCAGCACUUCAAAAAGAAUAAGCAUAUCCACUUUUUCAGGAGAUAAACUGUCUUAAGUAGCAUGAUGCUACAGUGUGAAUGAAUGGUCACAUAACACACGUUUUCCUUGACACCUCACCAGAGCCAAUCACCAGCACAUGAUUAAGGCACAUCAAGCAUGCUGCUCGCUUACUGGCUGUGUGUUUGAGUAAACUCAAUUUGGUGUACUCAUUCCUGACAACUUGAGUAACUAACAUAAGCAUCUCAGUAUUUUACAGUAAUGAUGUAAUAUGCUAUAUGUAUUUCAACAGAAAUUCAGAGUAAAAUCUUAAAAGUAAGUCUUGCAGAAUAUAAGAAAGCAUGUAUGAGUUAUCACCAAAACAGAUAAUUUCAGCAUUGUUAAACAGGAGUAAAAUAAUUGUUAUGCAAUCUUUCUGCAUUUACACUUGUCUAUAUUCUCAUACAGAGCUACUUCCUCCUUUUAAGGAAGCUAGAGUUGUCAUGGGGAAUGGGGAAAUAAGGUCUACAAAACAAAUGGAAUUUGUAGUAACUUCUGCUAAAUACUAUUCUGAUCUUAUUAAUGUACAAGGUCUGUUUAAACAGCAGGUGAGGUUAUUUUUGGUGUUUAUUGUUCAUUUACAGUCCUACCAGGUUCUGCAGCUGAGCAAAGAUCUCAACUCUAUCCUGCCUCUUAAACAAAACAAGACCAAAAAGAUAGCAUGACCCCAGAUAAGAAUAAACUUACAGAAUGGAUUAAACUUGGACUCUUCAGUGAUAAAUUAUAAGAAGAAAUGCUUUGCUCCUUUACAAGGGGCUUCUGGGUGUGCUGGACCUUUUGGAAUGUGUUGAGCCAAAUCUGUUGAGCUGACGAGGAUAUUAUCUAGUCCCUAGUCAGAAACAUCAGUGUCUAUGUUUGAGUUUUACAUGUAACAUCAGACACUUUGCAAUAUCUUUUACCCAUAUGGUACACAGUCUGCAUUCAGGAAAUUAAUUUACUGUUGCAAUUUUUUUUCUCUCUGAGCAAUUUUGGGUUUAUUAGCCAAUAUAAUCCUUCUCCAGCUCACUGAAAUCAAUUAAAGCAAAAAAGUCCCCCCAAAAAAUCCUAACCAUGUUUAUGCUGACAGCUUUCCUGUGAUCAUUGUUUUCCUUAAAACCCCCCAAAAAAUUCUGGCAACUGACUACUUUUUACUUAUAUUUCUGUUGUAUUUUUAUGAUCUGUCAUGUUUUGUAUAGUUUGUACAGUCUUUUAAAAUGUUUAUUUAAAUGAUUAAAAUGUCACUAUGAAAUUGCA